UCAAUGGCGAGACAGUGCCUGGGGAACAUCAGAUCAUUCAGUUUCCCAGCCAAUCAUGGUGCAGAGAAGACCUGGUCAGAGUUUCCAUGUGAACAGUGAGGUCAAUUCUGUACUGUCCCCACGAUCGGAGAGUGGGGGACUAGGCGUUAGCAUGGUGGAGUAUGUGUUGAGCUCAUCCCCGGGCGAUUCCUGUCUAAGAAAAGGAGGAUUUGGCCCAAGGGAUGCAGACAGUGAUGAAAACGACAAAGGUGAAAAGAAGAACAAGGGUACGUUUGAU
This is a long non-coding RNA of Nomascus leucogenys (northern white-cheeked gibbon), 277 nucleotides long. RefSeq lists it as uncharacterized. NCBI's taxonomy places the organism in Eukaryota, Metazoa, Chordata, Mammalia, Primates, Hylobatidae. The record is from RefSeq and is a predicted model, not a curated record. The transcript is spliced from 3 exons.